GGGCCCGCACAAGCGGUGGAGCAUGUGGUUUAAUUCGAUGCAACGCGAAGAACCUUACCAGGACUUGACAUACUACAAAUUCUUUUGAGAAAGAGAAGUGCCUUCGGGAAUGUAGAUACAGGUGGUGCAUGGCUGUCGUCAGCUCGUGUCGUGAGAUGUUGGUUAAGUCCCGCAACGAGCGCAACCCUUAUUUUAGUUACCAAUUCGUUGGGUUCUCUAGAAAGACUGCCGGUGACAAACCGGAGGAAGGUGAGGAUGACGUCAAGUCAGCAUGCCCCUUAUGUCCUGGCUACACACGUGCUACAAUGGUUAAGACAAAGAGUCGCGAGCUCGUGAGAGUCAG
RNAcentral lists this ribosomal RNA (343 nucleotides) under uncultured bacterium. Its description in RNAcentral is "bacterial SSU rRNA". It matches the Rfam family "Bacterial small subunit ribosomal RNA", at positions 917 to 1267 of the family's 1533-position model. The record is from RNAcentral.